GCAAGUCGAGGGGUAACAGGGAUUGCUUGCAAUCCGCUGACGACCGGCGCACGGGUUCGUAACGCGUAUAGAACCUACCUUUUACUGAGGGAUAGCCUUUAGAAAUGAAGAUUAAUACCUCAUGGUAUUGAAUUUUGGCAUCAGAAUUUAAUUAAAGAUUUAUUGGUAAAAGAUGGCUAUGCGUCCGAUUAGCUAGAUGGUAAGGUAACGGCUUACCAUGGCAACGAUAGGUAGGGGUCCUGAGAGGGGGAUC
This 253-nucleotide ribosomal RNA is filed under the name uncultured bacterium. RNAcentral describes it as "partial 16S ribosomal RNA". It matches the Rfam family "Bacterial small subunit ribosomal RNA", at positions 57 to 305 of the family's 1533-position model. The record is from RNAcentral.